Molecule: ribosomal RNA, 237 nt
Filed under: uncultured bacterium
Lineage: Bacteria
Description: partial 16S ribosomal RNA
Rfam family: Bacterial small subunit ribosomal RNA
Source: RNAcentral
GUCCAAGCAGUAAACGUUGAAUAUUAAACACAAGAAAUUUUGUGUUAAAGAUAACUCAUUAAAUAUUCCGCCUGAGUACUACGAUCGCAAGAUUAAAAUUCAAAAUAUUUGACGGUUCCUAAUUUCCGUCCGGAGGAGCAUGUGGUUUAAUUCGACAACCCACGAGAAAUCUUACCUAACCUGGUUUAGACAACAUUACAAAAGUAAAAGUUUAAUCAGAUGCUGCAUGGCUGCCGU